Molecule: long non-coding RNA, 861 nt
Organism: Pogoniulus pusillus (Red-fronted tinkerbird)
Lineage: Eukaryota; Metazoa; Chordata; Aves; Piciformes; Lybiidae
Exons: 2
Source: RefSeq, a predicted model, not a curated record
UUUGUUUUGGUUCUUAACCCUCAAGGUUUCUGAAAGAUCUUGAAAGCAACAAAGGUUAUUUAUCUCCAGUCUUUGGGAAGAAAAGCAUGGCAAAAGGCAAAUAAUGCAGGCAGAGGAGAAGGUUGGGUUGUCAGGUUUGCUGUUGAGCAUGCUGCUCCUGAUGCCAAAGCUGCUGAGAAGAAUCACAAAACCUUAGAGGUUGGAAGUGACCUCCAGAGAUCAUCAAGUUCAACCUCCCUGACAAGGCAGGAUUACCCAGGGUAAUUCACACAGGGAUGCAUCCAGGCAGGUUUUGAAAGUCUCCAGAAAAGGAGCCUCCACAACCUCUAUGAGCAGCCUGUUCCAGGGCUCUGUUACCCUGAAUGUUGAGGUGAAACCUUAUGUGUUCCGGUUUGUAGCUAUUGCUCCUUGUCUUAUUGCUGCUGACCAAUGAAGAGAUUGGAUCCAGCCACUUGCUCCCCAGCCCUCAGAUAUUUGAUCACAUUGAUCAGAUCUCCUCGUAGUCUUUCUUCUCCACACUAAACAUCCUCAGGGUCCUCAGUCUCUCUCCAUAGGGGAGAUGCUCAAGUUCUCCAGUCAUCCUUGUCACUCUUUGCUGCCUCUUUCCAGCAGGUCCGUCCCUGUCUCUCUUGAAUUGAACUUUACCUGUUCUUAAGAUAAGAAAUACAUAAGUCUGAAGAUAAUCUUUAAAUCUGUGCUAAAAAUGUGUUUUUAUUGACAGGGAUUGCAAAGUACUGAAUGAGCAAACAAUAUUUAUAUUGCCAUUACCCACCUUAUGGCCAGCAAAGUUAAAAGUGAACCUUUAAAAUUUGUUAUUCUAACUGAAAUUAAAUUACUAUUAAAUUAAACUCACUACUUGGA